Long non-coding RNA from Aedes aegypti (yellow fever mosquito), 379 nucleotides. RefSeq lists it as uncharacterized. The record is from RefSeq and is a predicted model, not a curated record. Lineage: Eukaryota; Metazoa; Arthropoda; Insecta; Diptera; Culicidae. The transcript is spliced from 2 exons.
UGAUUAAUUUAAAUCGAAUAAAAAACAUAUUAGAAAAGGUAAGCUACAUUCGAAUAGAUAGCAAUAUGCCCAGAAGUCAAUAUACUGAGUACUUGUUUCCAGGCACAACAAGAAAUCUCCUCCAAGAAACUCUACUCUCGCCCUAUUUUAAUAACCGGGGAAUUUUAAUAACCGGGGAGCACAUAAUUCGGCCAAAUACAAAUCAAACACUGAAUAGGAUGUUGCAGAAGGAAGAACAAAGGCCGUUGAAGAUCAAUUCUAUGGAUAUUCCACUACCGAUCCAAGCUACCAGGACGACAUUCUUAGAAUAGUGUUGCUUCUUCAUUAUUAUGGUUGUUAAAAAUAAAUACUUUGAGUUCUAAUCAUCGCAAAUUUUCAA